UGGGGAAUAUUGCACAAUGGGCGAAAGCCUGAUGCAGCAACGCCGCGUGAGUGAUGAAGGUCUUCGGAUUGUAAAGCUCUGUCUUUUGGGACGAUAAUGACGGUACCAAAGGAGGAAGCCGCGGCUAACUACGUGCCAGCAGCCGCGGUAAUACGUAGGUGGCGAGCGUUGUCCGGAUUUACUGGGCGUAAAGGGUGCGUAGGCGGAUGUUUAAGUGAGAUGUGAAAUACCCGGGCUUAACUUGGGUGCUGCAUUUCAAACUGGAUAUCUAGAGUGCAGGAGAGGAGAAUGGAAUUCCUAGUGUAGCGGUGAAAUGCGUAGAGAUUAGGAAGAACACCAGUGGCGAAGGCGAUUCUCUGGACUGUAACUGACGCUGAGGCACGAAAGCGUGGGUAGCAAACAGGAUUAGAUACCCUGGUAGUCCACGCCGUAAACGAUGAGUACUAGGUGUAGGAGGUAUCGACCCCUUCUGUGCCGCAGUAAACACAUUAAGUACUCCGCCUGGGAAGUACGAUCGCAAGAUUAAAACUC
This 531-nucleotide ribosomal RNA is filed under the name uncultured bacterium. Its description in RNAcentral is "partial 16S ribosomal RNA". It matches the Rfam family "Bacterial small subunit ribosomal RNA", at positions 355 to 902 of the family's 1533-position model. The record is from RNAcentral.